CCGCGGGGGCUGCGUGGCGUGCGCCCGGCCGGGCGUGGCUUGUGCUCGCGGAGUCGUCCCGGCGAGUAGCCCAGCCACUCCACGUUGAGGCGGGCCUUUCCGCGCAGCAUAGUCCUGGGCUGGAGGCGGCGCGGCGCCGCCCCCUGAGCUGCAAUUAGCACCUCUGGUGGCCCCCGUCGCGGAGCUUCGGGAGCUGACCAGUGUAGAAAGCUGUGAGAAAGGACGACCGGGCAGGCGGCUACGGUGCUAGGCAACCGAGCAGUUUCUGACAACACAAAAAAGCAGUGCACGUUAUUCCACCAGCCAUGGUGCAAGCGCCUGCUUAAUGACUGGAAGUCCAGCAGUGGGAAGCGGGAGGAGUUAGUUUACCACUCACCCGAGCCAUAUAACUAGAGAUCUGCCCGUUGAAAGAGUCCUUGUUGAGAGUGACUGGUCCAGGCCAGUAGCUAGUGACCCUAAUUUCCACUUAAAGUUAAAAGCACAUUACGCAGCUGCUCAAAAAGCCACCAAUGAGACAAAAGGGACUCAAAUGGGCUCUUGAUAGUGACAACAGUGGGAACCACUGCUGGGGGCUGUCAUAAAAAAGCAUCAGAAACUAUGUGGCUUAACCAACAGCAGUGAAUCAUCUCUCAGUUUGGACGUCAAAUGUCUGAGACUAAGGUGUUGGCCAGAAAAUAAAUCUUCCAUACCUUUUUGUGGUGAAUUAUACACUGUGCAGACAUUAUUGUGAGCUCAACGAGGUGGACAAGGAACUUUAAGAAUAAACUCAGAAGCUGUAAGAGAAGGAAAGUAUUUAUCCAGCACCCUGCCUCAACAACAAAGCCCUGGAACCUCCCACCUGAAGCAGCUGCUGAAGAGUUAGAAACAAGUGGAGCUCAAACAGACCGUUGCCAUGGGAAUGAAAUGAGAGAUCCUCUAUGAAAGUGGAAGAAAUUUUUAUCAAAUAGCCACUAAGCCCGAAUAUGGCUGCAUCACAGGCAACCAGCUAAAGGGACUGCAAGACAGAAAGAAAGGAAAACACGCUGAGUCACCCAGCUGCGGACAGGCAGGAAGAAGGAGCUCACUGCCUCCCAAGAGACCCAGAUUGUUUGUCCCAUCUCCAGGAGUGGCCUGCGGGUGGCACGGAUCAGCGCAAGGACCCCUCCCUGUUUGGGAUGCUGACCUCUGUAAAUCCCAC
Long non-coding RNA from Heterocephalus glaber (naked mole-rat), 1177 nucleotides. Lineage: Eukaryota; Metazoa; Chordata; Mammalia; Rodentia; Bathyergidae. The record is from Ensembl.